AUUGAACGCUGGCGGCAUGCUUUACACAUGCAAGUCGAACGGUAACAGGCCGCAAGGUGCCGACGAGUGGCGAACGGGUGAGUAAUGCAUCGGAACGUGCCCAGUCGUGGGGGAUAACUACUCGAAAGAGUAGCUAAUGCCGCAUACGAUCUAUGGAUGAAAGCGGGGGACCGUAAGGCCUCGCGCGAUUGGAGCGGCCGAUGUCAGAUUAGGUAGUUGGUGGGGUAAAGGCUCACCAAGCCAACGAUCUGUAGCUGGUCUGAGAGGACGACCAGCCACACUGGGACUGAGACACGGCCCAGACUCCUACGGGAGGCAGCAGUGGGGAAUUUUGGACAAUGGGCGCAAGCCUGAUCCAGCAAUGCCGCGUGCAGGAAGAAGGCCUUCGGGUUGUAAACUGCUUUUGUACGGAACGAAACGGCUCUGGUUAAUACCCGGGGCUAAUGACGGUACCGUAAGAAUAAGCACCGGCUAACUACGUG
RNAcentral lists this ribosomal RNA (482 nucleotides) under uncultured bacterium. RNAcentral describes it as "partial 16S ribosomal RNA". It matches the Rfam family "Bacterial small subunit ribosomal RNA", at positions 30 to 507 of the family's 1533-position model. The record is from RNAcentral.